Molecule: long non-coding RNA, 1494 nt
Organism: Lotus japonicus
Lineage: Eukaryota; Viridiplantae; Streptophyta; Magnoliopsida; Fabales; Fabaceae
Exons: 7
Source: RefSeq, a predicted model, not a curated record
GCUCCCUCGAAUCGAUAAAGUCCCUCUGCACCGUGAUCAACCGCGAAGCUUCCUCUCCACCGUGAAGCUUCCUCGGCGCGGUGAAGCUCACACGACGAAGCUCCCUCUUCACCGCGAAGCUCCUUCUUCACCGCGAAGCUCCAUUGACACGACGAAGCUCCCUCAUCACCGCGCAUCACCGCCACCGCGCAUCACCGCCAUGCAUCGGUCGUCCGCCGCGUCUGAGCUACCGCGACACCGUGUCUUACCCUCACCUCUCUCUGGCGCCGAUUCCGAUCUCGCUUGCUCUGAGAAAUUGUGAUUCUCAUGCUGCGACGAUGAAUUAGAAUACUGCUCCAUCUAGGAAACUUUGUUCUCUGACCUUCACUCCGAGAUCUUCUGCGAAUGCUCAUCAAUUACACUUCACCAUGUUCAUCGAUUUUGGAAGGUUAUGUGAGAGUGGAGAACUGCUGUGCUGGAUCAGAUAUUGGCCUAGAUGUGGGAACCACCUGAAUCUAAUGGGAUGCUUUCAAAAACGCUAGCAUGAACAAGAGCUGUAAACAGAAUCAUGGAACUCCCGCAAGAUAGUAAGGCUAGCCAAGCACACAGAUAGUCCCAAUCUUCUCCCAGUCCAAAAUCCUGAUGAAUAUGAGGUUGUUGAGCUAAUCUUGAAUCAGGUCACAGUAUCUCCAAGGAUGAUAUAAUCUCCAAGGCUUUUCAGGGUUAAGCACUGGAUCAUUUAAAAGGAUGAUGAAAGUUUGAGGAAAUGGAAGGAGCAACUUCUUGGAAGUGUUGACAUGUCUUUUGUUGGAGGUACUUAGCUUCUCUUCCAUUUUAUUUGAUCUGAUGAGUAGAUAAUCUUAACAAAUUAUGGAUUGGACCCAGUGCUCUGCUUUUUGUUAAGAUUUCCUGGCAAUGAUGGGUAAUCAUUUCAUGUUACUCUAAUUACUGUUAGGUUGCAAGUCCUCUCAUUCCCUUGUAGUUCAACCAAAAUAGUGUACUUUUAAUGAAAAAUAAUAAAAUAUUAUGGGAGAUAUUAUUUUCUAAUGCUUUUAUUGUCAGAAAUUGCAUUUUCAUUUUUUACUUUUCAAUUUAGUGGAUCUUAUUCUUGCAUAUGCUGCCAUAUAGGUAAUGAAUUGAAUGGUUAGGGCAUUGGGGCGAGUGUAAGUUUUAUGUAGGGGUAUAAUUGGAAGUUUAUUUUUUUUGGCAGCUAUAAAGCCAUUUCUGGCGGUUUAGCACCGACAAAACGUGUUUUAUAUGUGUUCCCUUAUAGACAACGGUUUUAUAUGUGUUCCCUCAUAGUCAACGAAAACGGUUUUCUAUUACACUAAAGGAAAACAGGUUGCUGACCGUUGUCCUAGGAUAGCCAGAAAACCGUUUCCUACAAUACACCAAAGAAAACGGUUUUUUCUUAGGGUUCCCUUUGAUCAGUAAAACCGUUUUCAAAAGAAUAGGCAACGCCUUAGACUACCACAGUUUGGAAACCGUUUUAGAAUGCAAUAGAGAACGGUUUUU